Molecule: ribosomal RNA, 253 nt
Filed under: uncultured bacterium
Lineage: Bacteria
Description: partial 16S ribosomal RNA
Rfam family: Bacterial small subunit ribosomal RNA
Source: RNAcentral
UACGGGGGGGGCAAGCGUUGUUCGGAAUUACUGGGCGUAAAGGGCGCGUAGGCGGUUUGCUAAGUUGGACGUGAAAACUCUGGGCUUAACCCAGAGCCUGCAUCCAAAACUGGCAAGCUGGAGUUUUGGAGGGGGAAGCGGAAUUCCUGGUGUAGCAGUGAAAUGCGCAGAUAUCAGGAGGAACACCGGUGGCGAAGGCGGGUCUCUGGGCAACUACUGACGCUGAGGAGCGAAAGCGUGGGGAGCGAACAGG